Molecule: transfer RNA, 69 nt
Filed under: Ictidomys tridecemlineatus (thirteen-lined ground squirrel)
Lineage: Eukaryota; Metazoa; Chordata; Mammalia; Rodentia; Sciuridae
Description: Spermophilus tridecemlineatus (thirteen-lined ground squirrel) tRNA
Rfam family: tRNA
About the family: Transfer RNA (tRNA) molecules are approximately 80 nucleotides in length. Their secondary structure includes four short double-helical elements and three loops (D, anti-codon, and T loops).
Source: Rfam by way of RNAcentral
GGGGUUGUGGCUCAAUGGUAGAGCACUUGCCUAACAUGUGUGAAACACUGGGUUUGAUUCUCAGCACCA